CCAAAGGCUCUUUUCAGAGCCAUCCACAUUAACUAAAAAGAGCUGU
Dipodomys ordii (Ord's kangaroo rat) is the source of this 46-nucleotide non-coding RNA. NCBI's taxonomy places the organism in Eukaryota, Metazoa, Chordata, Mammalia, Rodentia, Heteromyidae. The record is from Rfam.